This 73-nucleotide transfer RNA is filed under the name Stegodyphus mimosarum. It matches the Rfam family "tRNA". From Rfam's summary of the family: Transfer RNA (tRNA) molecules are approximately 80 nucleotides in length. Lineage: Eukaryota; Metazoa; Arthropoda; Arachnida; Araneae; Eresidae. The record is from Rfam by way of RNAcentral.
GCCUUCAUGGUGUAGUGGUCAGCACACUUAACGUGUAUUCGAGAGGUUUGUGGUUCGAGUCCCGGUGAAGGCG